GGUAUUGCAGGUAAAGAAGAUAAUUACUGGCUUCGAGGCGGAGCUAAAUUUUGUUAAGUUCCUUGUUUUGCUGAGCCCUUCAUACAUUCUUCCUUGCAGUCCACAAGGCCUAACUAUGGUAAUAGCGAUGAUGAUUAACUUGCUGAGAACAGCAACCUGGGAGACUGUGAGGCUGGGUUUAGGCUACACGAGGAGCGACCACCUGAGUGAGGCACAGCACUGCUUUGAACAGCUGGAACAAACAAGUCGUGCAGCUGGCUGACUCACAGAGAUUUAUCCUGCACACUGCAAGUCUCUGGAAUAUUCAGUGUGGGUGUCUGAAGCAGAUGCAAUUCCUCAUGACUAUUUUCUUCGCUCUCGCAAACCUGGAGGCCAUUUUGCUGCUUUUCUUUUCUUACGAGCAGACAAAAUGGUGAUAGUAUCUGCAAUAAAUGGUCUCUUUCCUAUAA
Molecule: long non-coding RNA, 449 nt
Organism: Pelobates fuscus (common spadefoot toad)
Lineage: Eukaryota; Metazoa; Chordata; Amphibia; Anura; Pelobatidae
Exons: 2
Source: RefSeq, a predicted model, not a curated record